This 1134-nucleotide ribosomal RNA is filed under the name Leuconostoc carnosum. RNAcentral's name for it is "bacterial SSU rRNA". It matches the Rfam family "Bacterial small subunit ribosomal RNA", at positions 328 to 1456 of the family's 1533-position model. The record is from RNAcentral. Lineage: Bacteria; Bacillati; Bacillota; Bacilli; Lactobacillales; Lactobacillaceae.
GGCCCAAAUCCUACGGGGGCUGCAGUAGGGAAUCUUCCACAAUGGGCGAAAGCCUGAUGGAGCAACGCCGCGUGUGUGAUGAAGGCUUUCGGGUCGUAAAGCACUGUUGUAUGGGAAGAAAAGUUAAGGUAGGGAAUGACCUUAGCCUGACGGUACCAUACCAGAAAGGGACGGCUAAAUACGUGCCAGCAGCCGCGGUAAUACGUAUGUCCCGAGCGUUAUCCGGAUUUAUUGGGCGUAAAGCGAGCGCAGACGGUUGGUUAAGUCUGAUGUGAAAGCCCGGAGCUCAACUCCGGAAAGGCAUUGGAAACUGGUUAACUUGAGUGCAGUAGAGGUAAGUGGAACUCCAUGUGUAGCGGUGGAAUGCGUAGAUAUAUGGAAGAACACCAGCGGCGAAGGCGGCUUACUGGACUGUAACUGACGUUGAGGCUCGAAAGUGUGGGUAGCAAACAGGAUUAGAUACCCUGGUAGUCCACACCGUAAACGAUGAACACUAGGUGUUAGGAGGUUUCCGCCUCUUAGUGCCGAAGCUAACGCAUUAAGUGUUCCGCCUGGGGAGUACGACCGCAAGGUUGAAACUCAAAGGAAUUGACGGGGACCCGCACAAGCGGUGGAGCAUGUGGUUUAAUUCGAAGCAACGCGAAGAACCUUACCAGGUCUUGACAUCCUUUGAAGCUUUUAGAAAUAGAAGUGUUCUCUUCGGAGACAAAGUGACAGGUGGUGCAUGGUCGUCGUCAGCUCGUGUCGUGAGAUGUUGGGUUAAGUCCCGCAACGAGCGCAACCCUUAUUGUUAGUUGCCAGCAUUCAGAUGGGCACUCUAGCGAGACUGCCGGUGACAAACCGGAGGAAGGCGGGGACGACGUCAGAUCAUCAUGCCCCUUAUGACCUGGGCUACACACGUGCUACAAUGGCGUAUACAACGAGUUGCCAACCUGCGAAGGUGAGCUAAUCUCUUAAAGUACGUCUCAGUUCGGACUGCAGUCUGCAACUCGACUGCACGAAGUCGGAAUCGCUAGUAAUCGCGGAUCAGCACGCCGCGGUGAAUACGUUCCCGGGUCUUGUACACACCGCCCGUCACACCAUGGAAGUUUGUAAUGCCCAAAGCCGGUGGCCUAACCGUAAGGAGGGAACCGU